RNAcentral lists this ribosomal RNA (301 nucleotides) under uncultured bacterium. Its description in RNAcentral is "partial 16S ribosomal RNA". It matches the Rfam family "Bacterial small subunit ribosomal RNA", at positions 509 to 809 of the family's 1533-position model. The record is from RNAcentral.
CAGCCGCCACGGUAAUACGAAGGGGGCUAGCGUUGCUCGGAAUGACUGGGCGUAAAGGGCGUGUAGGCGGUUUUGACAGUCAGAUGUGAAAUUCCUGGGCUUAACCUGUGGGCUGCAUUUGAGACGUUAAGACUAGAGUGUGAGAGAGGGUUGUGGAAUUCCCAGUGUAGAGGUGAAAUUCGUAGAUAUUGGGAAGAACACCGGUGGCGAAGGCGGCAACCUGGCUCAUUACUGACGCUGAGGCGCGAAAGCGUGGGGAGCAAACAGGAUUAGAUACCCCCGUAGUCCCUGUCUCUUAUAA